GGUGUGUGUGUGUGGGGGGGGAGAGUGUAUGCAGUCUGAAUUCAGUUUUCACUGUGGAAAAAGUGGGUGGUGGUAGUGUUUGGGAGGAAGAGAUAGUUUUUAAGAAUGGCAGGAAGAGUCUGCCUUGUGCAUUAUUAUUGCACCAGAAAUACUUGGCACAUGAUGGAUCCUCAACACAUACUGAAUUAAAGAAAGAGAAAGGGAAGGGAGACCCUAUUGUUGGAACUGUUGGGAGGGAAGGAGAGGGAGGCUCAUUGGGAUUGGUACAAAAUGAAGGUCUGCUACAGGCCGACACUCUGCUGUUUCUAUCUGUUUAAAGGCUAGAACUUCUCUGGUUGCUUUUUGAGAGCUUCCUUCUCUUUACAGCCUGUCACUCUGAUGUGAGCUGCUGUCCUGUGUGAUUCACAUUCUGAUCUUGUUCCUCUUUCUGGGACCCCAAGAGAAGACCGACCUGCAAGACAUUUCACAGGCCCUGCUUGCUUGGGCUGGAGAGAUUCCAGAAGUGAUACAUCUGUUUUUCAGUAGAAGCCUCUGAUACCUGUUAGUCCCAGGCUGGGGGAAGUGAGCACAGAGAUCAUACUUUGGUGAGUUUUGGUUUCAGCCAACUUUAUAUUUCCAAGAAAAAAGUGCUGAAGUGUUACGUAGGGCUAGUUAAUAGGAACCUUUCUCUAGGGCUCAGGCAAGCAAUCACUGAGUGGACUGGACCCCCAGGACUGUGCUUUAUCGUAGGACAGAGUUAAAAAAAAUAACUAGUCCCAGACAUAAUUCCAGAAAGGACUCAAAGGGAUGAUUAGGCUCUAUGAUGAGGAAAAACCUAGUGUGGGACUCAACCCUUUUUCUUCUCUAGGCACAUGUAGAGUCCCUUGAUAUUGUUUGUCUUUACAGAAUUGUGAUUUAAAUUUGACCUAGAAAACUUUCCAAAGGAUUAAAGUAAGACCAAAUAGGAAAAUUACAUUCUGUGGCCCUUAGCAUCAGUCCCUCACCAUCUUUAAUAAAAAGAAGACCAUCCUCCUUUGUUUUUGGAAGAACUAUUCUAUAGAACAAGAGAAUAUAUACAUUGGCCCAAUAGAAUCCUCCUGUGCUUGAGUGUUUAUAUGUGCAUGUGUUAAGUUGUACCUCAGUAUAAGGAAGCAAAAACUCAAAUAUUCCAAUCACCAGGUUUCCUUCUACUUUCCUUUGGUGCUGCAAGUAAUCCAGUUACUCAGCAAAGUGUGAAGAGGUUAAAUCUAACAGUAUUAUGGCCAUAUUUAUACCAAUCUAUCACAAAUGACUGGGGAUAUGCUAGGAGUAGAGCUUGUCUUAAGACAGUCUGAGCCAGAAAUAUGACAAGAUUUAGAAAAGAAAAAAGAAAACUCUUGUUUUCCUACAUGUACCAAACGUGCUAAUUGAUCUCAGCAUAGUAAUCUCAUAUAAAGUGCUUCAGAGUUGGACACAAUACCUUU
Molecule: long non-coding RNA, 1442 nt
Organism: Dipodomys spectabilis (banner-tailed kangaroo rat)
Lineage: Eukaryota; Metazoa; Chordata; Mammalia; Rodentia; Heteromyidae
Exons: 3
Source: RefSeq, a predicted model, not a curated record